CUCCAGUUAGCUUGCAGGUGGCUAUGUACUCAUUAGCGUCAAUGGCACUUUCUAUAAGACCGGCACCGGAGGUGGGCUAGUAAGUGAUCCCUAGGCUCCGUACGUCCUCCCUACACUGUGUUCGCUGUGCUGUCACCUAUGAAAGGUAUUUGGCUGUGUACCAGACGCUUCCGGUUAGUGUUUUGUUGAUCUACCGAAGGUCUUGACUGAAAAGACGCCGUGUACGCGCAGGUUGCACUGUCUAUUGGGAGAUGCGUUAAGGUAACAUUGGCUGUAUAGCUUAGUAAGGUUUGCCAUGUAAUGUGUGUGUGUGUGUGUACAUAUGUAUGUUUAUAUGCAUGUUUACAGUAACUGGAUCUACUAUAAGGUGUCAUGUUUCGCUGUAAGUCCUUGUGAUUUAACUAGCCAAUAACCUUUUAUUAUGUGUUGUAUGUGAGCUAUGCUUGUGUGUGAUUUUAUGUAGGUUUGCGUACUGGAGAGCUACCAGGGAGUCCCAUUUCCAUUCAUGUUGAGUGGUGUAUUCCUAGAGGUAAAAGGAAACCUUGUUGUAUUGUAUCUGUAUUGGUUUAGGCUGUAUUUACCAUAAACAAUGGAUUUUAACUGUUUGUUUACUCCUUUAGAAAGAUUGCCACUGCUGCUUUGCCUCCUGUAGAUUUAAGUAAUUGUAGCUCUUGCCUCAUUUUGUUUUCUUUAUUUUGUUUUGUUUGUCCGAUUGAUUUGGCCUAAACAUAGGCGUGGCUGGUUUCAUUUAUCUGCCCUCCGUCGUGGUGUGUCGGCAACAGGUGUGGUAUUGGCUGCCCCAGUAUUUUGCUGUGGUAAAGUGUGAUGGUAAUAAUGCUAACAUCUAGCUUUCUUGACCCAGCCAGUUAUUGCCAAUAGCAACCAUAUCUUCCCUUCUCCCCUCCAGAGAAACAGUGUUGCAGCUGUUCCGCGGGGCAG
Alosa alosa (allis shad) is the source of this 939-nucleotide long non-coding RNA. RefSeq lists it as uncharacterized. The transcript is spliced from 3 exons. NCBI's taxonomy places the organism in Eukaryota, Metazoa, Chordata, Actinopteri, Clupeiformes, Clupeidae. The record is from RefSeq and is a predicted model, not a curated record.